This is a transfer RNA of Lepisosteus oculatus (spotted gar), 82 nucleotides long. It matches the Rfam family "tRNA". Rfam says of the family: Transfer RNA (tRNA) molecules are approximately 80 nucleotides in length. Their secondary structure includes four short double-helical elements and three loops (D, anti-codon, and T loops). Further hydrogen bonds mediate the characteristic L-shaped molecular structure. tRNAs have two regions of fundamental functional importance: the anti-codon, which is responsible for specific mRNA codon recognition, and the 3' end, to which the tRNAs corresponding amino acid is attached (by aminoacyl-tRNA synthetases). tRNAs cope with the degeneracy of the genetic code in two manners: having more than one tRNA (with a specific anti-codon) for a particular amino acid; and 'wobble' base-pairing, i.e. permitting non-standard base-pairing at the 3rd anti-codon position. The record is from Rfam. NCBI's taxonomy places the organism in Eukaryota, Metazoa, Chordata, Actinopteri, Semionotiformes, Lepisosteidae.
GGUAGUGUGGCUGAGCAGUCUAAGGCCCUGGAUUUAGGCUCCAGUCUCUCUGGGGGCAUGGGUUCGAGUCCCACCACUGCCA